Non-coding RNA from Paramuricea clavata, 89 nucleotides. Lineage: Eukaryota; Metazoa; Cnidaria; Anthozoa; Malacalcyonacea; Plexauridae. The record is from the annotation of a GenBank genome assembly.
UUGAAGGAUUUGUAAGAAAUGUUUGAGGGAAUUGACUCGUUGUUAAACACUAAUUUAGUUCCCUCAAACAUUUCUUACAAAUCCUUCAA